CGGCUGGUUCUAACUCCCACCCCUGUGGGCACAGAAACACCAGCCCCUAUGACAUUUCUCUCGGGGAUCUCUGGGCUCCUCAGGUAUCCAUCACUGGACCACGACAACUUUAUGUGCGUCUCCAGAUUUCCUUGGCCCCAGCUUUCCCCAGGACCUCAACGAUUUCCUCAGAUGGAAAGCGCAGGCAGUCACCAUUCCCUCAUUGCUUGACACCCCUGGCUGUCUCAGCUUCCCCUGGGUCAGGGCCUGGAGUCAGCUUCUUCUCCAUCGUGCCCACUCCAGCGGGAGCCUCAGCAGCCCUGCACCCAGGUCCCACCCAACCCAAUCCAACCCAACCCAACCCACGGGGCUCCGGCCCCUCGCACUGCUUCAGGCCCCCCUGGAGCACCAUGCUUAGAGUAUGGGAUCUGGCUUCGUCUGCAGCUUCUGGAGGGGAUCGGUGACCCAGCCUGGAAGUGCAGAUGUGGGACAGGAGACAGGAGUGAGCUGGCAGGGCUGUGGGCUCGCUGCCUGCCCACCCGACUGCUGGAAAACACUGGAGCUCUUGGGGAAAAGGAGGGCGUCAGCCCGAAACAAACAUAUUUACAGGUAAGGAAGUGACUGCUGGGGCCUGAGGGGAAGGGAGACAAAGCAGACACAGCAACAGUCAAAACACCUCUGGGAAAGACAGGACAGGGGCUCUGCGGGGAGAAAGAGAAAAGCAGGUGAAAAUAAAGACACUGCCCAGGACCGCCUCCCAGUGUGGGCGCUAACAGUCCUGGGUUAGGAGAGAAGUUGCUUUGUAUCCAUUUCAGGGGCGAGGGGGAGGGAAGACACUAGCAAUAGGUUGUCCACCAAGAGAUAAAGAAGAGCAGGGAGCAGAAAUCACUGCCCUUGGAGUGGGGACGCAUAACCGAGUGUCUGAAGGGAGAAGUUCCCCAGGUCAGCUG
This 929-nucleotide long non-coding RNA is filed under the name Equus caballus (horse). Its description in RNAcentral is "lncRNA (ENSECAG00000034329.3)". The record is from RNAcentral. Lineage: Eukaryota; Metazoa; Chordata; Mammalia; Perissodactyla; Equidae.